This is a microRNA precursor of Schistosoma mansoni, 78 nucleotides long. It matches the Rfam family "mir-3492 microRNA precursor family". Lineage: Eukaryota; Metazoa; Platyhelminthes; Trematoda; Strigeidida; Schistosomatidae. The record is from Rfam.
AGCUUUUUGAAUCCUUGUAGAGAUUUCGCCGGACACCAACCCAUAAGGGCUGAUCAGACUCUCAAGAUAAGUGAAAUU